AUACACGUUUUUAAACAUCCUUUUGUGUGUAAGUGUGCAUUAGUACAUGCUAACGAUAUUCAAAAAGUACAUACCUCAAAGAAAACGAUGACGCGAGUUAUCGUCUCUAACGUUCGAGGACUACAAAAAACACUCGGAUUGUAGGCAACAGUUUACUUCCUGGGAUUAGUGACGUAGAUAAGACCAACAUUAUCAUAGUUCAGCCCUCUCUGCUUUGCUUGGGUACGCCCUCAAAGAUGGGGGUGGGGAGCGCCGAGUCAGAAGAGAGCUAAAAUGGCGGAGGUUGUGAGUCCCUGCUUUGACUCUGUUUGCAAACUCUUGUUUCAUUGUUUAAGCGAUUAAAUCUCUCGAGUAGACGCUGUCUCUUUAGAUGCGAGGGCAAAAUAGCACUUUAUGGACUUCCACAGAGGACAUCGUGUUUAAUACGGUUCCGGAAAAAUCCAGUCAGAAGUUGUUCACGGAGUUUUCACAAUAACUGCUUCUCAUGAACCGAAGCUGGAUUUGCACGACGUCUCCUCUUGAAAGUUGGAUUACUGUGCACUUCUGGAUCACAGGCUAUUCGCAGCUGGACACAUCCUUCUACACUGUAUGCAAACAUGCAACAUCAUUACACACAGUACAAGGAGUCAGACUGGCAUAUGAGGAGCAAAGGAACCCAGGCAGUAGCAUCGUUUCACAAUGUUUCCAUCACCAUCAUCAGUGGAUGCCUUUGCCGUCCGUAGCCUGAGAUUUCAGAUUUGCAGC
Molecule: long non-coding RNA, 744 nt
Organism: Paramisgurnus dabryanus
Lineage: Eukaryota; Metazoa; Chordata; Actinopteri; Cypriniformes; Cobitidae
Source: RefSeq, a predicted model, not a curated record